Molecule: ribosomal RNA, 1022 nt
Filed under: uncultured marine bacterium
Lineage: Bacteria
Description: bacterial SSU rRNA
Rfam family: Bacterial small subunit ribosomal RNA
Source: RNAcentral
AAUACUUAGUGGCAGACGGGUGAGUAACAUGUAGGUAUCUGCCCUUUGGCCUGGAAUAACACGAGGAAACUUGUGCUAAUACCGGAUAAGUCUUUACGGAGAAAGCUUUAUGCACCAUUGGAUGAGCCUGCACUUGAUUAGUUUGUUGGUGGGGUAAUGGCCUACCAAGACUGUGAUCAAUAGCUGAUUUGAGAGGAUGAUCAGCCACAUUGGGACUGAGACACGGCCCAAACUCCUACGGGAGGCAGCAGUGGGGAAUCUUGCACAAUGGAGGAAACUCUGAUGCAGCGAUGCCGCGUGAGUGAAGAAGGCCCUUGGGUUGUAAAGCUCUUUCGUCGGGGAAGAAAAUGACUGUACCCGAAUAAGAAGGUCCGGCUAACUUCGUGCCAGCAGCCGCGGUAAUACGAAGGGACCUAGCGUAGUUCGGAAUUACUGGGCUUAAAGAGUUCGUAGGUGGUUGAAAAAGUUAGUGGUGAAAUCCCAGAGCUUAACUCUGGAACUGCCAUUAAAACUUUUCAGCUAGAGUAUGAUAGAGGAAAGCAGAAUUUCUAGUGUAGAGGUGAAGUUCGUAGAUAUUAGAAAGAAUACCAAUUGCGAAGGCAGCUUUCUGGAUCAUUACUGACACUGAGGAACGAAAGCAUGGGUAGCGAAGAGGAUUAGAUACCCUCGUAGUCCAUGCCGUAAACGAUGUGUGUUAGACGUUGGAAAUUUAUUUUCAGUGUCGCAGGGAAACCGAUAAACACACCGCCCUGGGGGAGUACGACCGCAAGGUUAAAACUCAAAUGAAUUGACGGGGACCCGCACAAGUAGUGGAGCAUGUGGGUUUAAUUCGAAGAUACGCGCAGAACCUUACCAACACUUGACAUGUUCGUCGCGACUCUAAGAGAAUUAGAAGUUUUCGGUUUCGGCCGGACGAAACACAGGUGCUGCAUGGCUGUCGUCAGCUCGUGUCGUGAGGAUGUUGGGGUUAAGUCCCGCAACGAGCGCAACCCUCACUUUUAGUUGCCAUCAUUUAAGUUGGG